Molecule: ribosomal RNA, 867 nt
Filed under: uncultured Actinomycetes bacterium
Lineage: Bacteria; Bacillati; Actinomycetota; Actinomycetes
Description: bacterial SSU rRNA
Rfam family: Bacterial small subunit ribosomal RNA
Source: RNAcentral
UGGCGGCGUUCUUACCAUGCAAGUCGAACGAGGUCCAGUGGAGCUUGCUCCGGAAGACCUAGUGGCGAACGGGUGCGUAACACGUGAGAAACCUGCCCCGAUCUCUGGGAUAACAGUUGGAAACGACUGCUAAUACCGGAUGCCGUCACACCGCUUCAUGGCGGAGUGCCGAAAGAUUCAUCGGAUCGGGAGGGUCUCGCGGCCUAUCAGCUAGUUGGAGAGGUAACGGCUCACCAAGGCAUCGACGGGUAGCUGGUCUGAGAGGAUGAUCAGCCACACUGGGACUGAGACACGGCCCAGACUCCUACGGGAGGCAGCAGUGGGGAAUCUUGCACAAUGGGCGAAAGCCUGAUGCAGCAACGCCGCGUGCGGGAAGAAGGCCCUAGGGUUGUAAACCGCUUUCAGUAGGGAAGAAAAUGACGGUACCUACAGAAGAAGGUGCGGCCAACUACGUGCCAGCAGCCGCGGUGACACGUAGGCACCAAGCGUUAUCCGGAUUUAUUGGGCGUAAAGAGCUCGUAGGCGGUUUGGUAAGUCGGGUGUGAAAACCCUGGGCUCAACCCAGAGACGCCACCCGAUACUGCUAUGACUAGAGUACGGUAGGGGAGCGGGGAAUUCAUGGUGUAGCGGUGAAAUGCGCAGAUAUCAUGAGGAACACCAGCGGCGAAGGCGCCGCUCUGGGCCGUAACUGACGCUGAGGAGCGAAAGCAUGGGUAGCAAACAGGAUUAGAUACCCUGGUAGUCCAUGCCGUAAACGUUGGGCACUACGUGUGGGUCUCAACCAACGAGAUCCGCGCCGUCGCUAACGCAUUAAGUGCCCCGCCUGGGGAGUACGGUCGCAAGACUAAAACUCAAAGGAAUUGACGG